AGAUUGAACGCUGGCGGCAUGCUUUACACAUGCAAGUCGAACGGCAGCGCGGGGCAACCUGGCGGCGAGUGGCGAACGGGUGAGUAAUAUAUCGGAACGUACCCAAGAGUGGGGGAUAACGUAGCGAAAGUUACGCUAAUACCGCAUACGAUCUAUGGAUGAAAGUGGGGGAUCGCAAGACCUCAUGCUCCUGGAGCGGCCGAUAUCUGAUUAGCUAGUGGUGAGGUAAAGGCUCACCAAGGCGACGAUCAGUAGCUGGCUGACGAGGACGACCAGCCACACUAGAACUGAGACACGGUCCAGACUCCUACGGGAGCAGCAGUGGGGGAACUUUUUGGACUAAAUGGGGACGCUAAAGCCUAGAUACCAG
RNAcentral lists this ribosomal RNA (370 nucleotides) under uncultured soil bacterium. Its description in RNAcentral is "bacterial SSU rRNA". It matches the Rfam family "Bacterial small subunit ribosomal RNA", at positions 26 to 391 of the family's 1533-position model. The record is from RNAcentral.